This 449-nucleotide ribosomal RNA is filed under the name uncultured bacterium. RNAcentral's name for it is "partial 16S ribosomal RNA". It matches the Rfam family "Bacterial small subunit ribosomal RNA", at positions 29 to 523 of the family's 1533-position model. The record is from RNAcentral.
AAUGAGCGCUGGCGGCAGGCCUAACACAUGCGAGUCGAACGGAUCCUUCGGGAUUAGUGGCGGACGGGUGAGUAACGCGUGGGAACAUACCCAAAGGUACGGAAUAGCCUCGGGAAACUGGGAGUAAUACCGUAUGUGCUCGAAAGAGGAAAGAUUUAUCGCCUUUGGAUUGGCCCGCGUUGGAUUAGGUAGUUGGUGGGGUAAUGGCCUACCAAGCCGACGAUCCAUAGCUGGUUUGAGAGGAUGAUCAGCCACACUGGGACUGAGACACGGCCCAGACUCCUACGGGAGGCAGCAGUGGGGAAUCUUAGACAAUGGGGGAAACCCUGAUCUAGCCAUGCCGCGUGAUCGAUGAAGGCCUUAGGGUUGUAAAGAUCUUUCAGGUGGGAAGAUAAUGACUGUACCACCAGAAGAAGCCCCGGCUAACUCCGUGCCAGCCGCCGCAGUAA